This 3660-nucleotide long non-coding RNA is filed under the name Nicotiana tabacum (common tobacco). RNAcentral describes it as "long non-coding RNA (NTAB_LNC013759)". Lineage: Eukaryota; Viridiplantae; Streptophyta; Magnoliopsida; Solanales; Solanaceae. The record is from RNAcentral.
AUUGAAAGAAAAUUUUCUGGAAAUUUGAAACGGCAAACUCUAGAAAACAAUAUUGAAUUCUCUGUAUUGUUGGUUUGAAACUAUUCAAAAUUGGGCUUGUCUGUGGGAUUUUUGGUUUUUCCCUUAGCUUGAGCCUUUGAAAACUAUAAAUUCUUGUAUCCGAGUAAGAAAGGGUCUGAGUUUUCUGGGAUUUCAAAGCUUAUUUUGGGAGUUGUCUGGUUUUGGGUCAACUGUGCCUUUGAAGUCGAUUUUGCUGUGAUUUUCUCCUCUACGUUGAGUCUGAUGCUGUUGUUGUUUCUGUUGUGAUCUCGACUCAGCUUUCCAUUCUUUUGUCUUGCCAUUUGUACCAGGUACAUGUCCCUGAUCUUAAACACGUACGGACUGACUCAUGUGAUGUCUUGAGGAAAAGGAAGACUGAUGUUGUGUUUAUCAGAUGUUUCUUUCUUAUUCCUUUUCUCGCUCAAUUUGUUGGUUCAAUCUCCUUGAAUUAACAUGUCUAAAGUAAGGUUAUGUUGUAAAUGUUGUAACCUAUGAUGAACUGCAAUCAGACUGUUAUCCCAUAUGCGCUGAUCUCCAUUUGUUUUAACCCCCUAAGGGUUUAUCAUCGCUAGAAGAGCUGAUUAAUUCUAAGUUCCAAAAUGUGUUUGUAAACUCAGAAUACAUGGAUAUUUCUGUAAUUACACGAUCAGUAUUGUUAAGGUCGAGUAGGUGUUUGAAAUUUCUGUACGCUCCAGUUGCUGGGAAUGGGGAAAAUUAGCAUGUUAAAGUGUAAUUAGUAUUUUGCUGUUGGUAUGAACUCGAACUCGAGUCAGAUCCUUGAUUUAGCCUUAGCGAUAUUUGGGCUCUUAGGACCAGGCUUCAAGGUCUUUGGUAAAUUGAGUAGAAUGCCAUGGCCAUUUGGGCUUGUCCUUUAAGCCCGAAAAUUUAAUUGGUUAAUGCUGGAUUCUUUUCAUUGUGGGUCUAACAAAAAAUGUAUGUCACAUAAGUUGGAGGUUUAGUUGGUAGCUGAAGCUCCAGAUUAAAUGUUAGUGUAAGUUCAUAUUUUCAUGGGGUUUUGGUUGAUUGUUACUUAAUUGAUUUUGCAUAAGUUUAAAAUUCUAAGGAUUGGGCCUAAAUACUGGCCCAGUUAUGGAAUUCAAAAAAUAAGAUUCGUUUGUGUAUUAUUCGUUUUGGGUCGUCCUUGUCAGCGCCAAGUUGGGCCCAGAACUGUGAAAGCAUUAGAAAAUAAGAAGUGGAGGGCUUGGCCACAUGAACGCUCUCUCGCUAUUGGUUGUUGUUGGGACAAUUCGUUCUAAUAAUUGGCCCAAGUCCUCAUCGUCGAAUUAGUUUAAGGUGGUUUUGUGAAGUUGACUCGAUAAUUUCCUAUGCCUCUUAGCCAAUUAGCCAAGCCCUUUAAUAAUCAAGGCAAGCCGUAUUAUGUAACAUGGAUAGUUCAUGGCCGUCCGAAGCUUAGUGCGAAUUCCCUUUUAAAAUAAUUGAGGUGAGUCGCGCCAAAUAAAAUUCCAAAUACGUGGCCCUCAUUUAACUAUUUCUUUUGAAUCCUUAAAAAUCGAGGCGUGCCAUUUAGCAAAUUUCCAUGGCCCUCGCAAAGUUGCUAACGCGUAGUUGCUUUAGGUGCCUAUUUUAAUAAUUUACCAUCCUAAACUCGGGUGCGCAUUUAUGUGACCCAAAUCCAAGUCUCAACGAUGUUAAGAUAUGUCAAAAACCACGGGUGCAUUUAUGUGACGUGGUUCGAGACGUGUUUUAAUAACGUUGCAAUUUUAUUUAAAAAUUAAAUAAAAGCAGUUAUAAAUUUAAAACUGAACCAUAGGUUAAACAUGUAUCAAAGUCAGAUAAUUAAGCCAAUUAUAACAGUUGAGCGACCGUGCUAGAACCACGGAUCCCGGGAAUGCCUAACACCUUCUCCCGGAUUAACAGAAUUCCUUACUCGGAUUUCUGGUUCGCGGACUGUUAAACAGAGUUAACCUUUCCUCGACUCGGGAUUUGAACCGGUUACUUGGGACACCUUAAAUUAUCCCAAGUGGCGACUCUGAAUCUUUUAACAAAUAAUCCCGUUUCGGUUGUCACUUUAAGUUGGAAAAAACUCCCUUAUACACCCUUUACUGGGGUGUAGGUAAAAAAGGAGGUGUGACAGUGACUUAGUCCGUCCCGUACGACUGUAAAGUCACGUAUUUGAUUGGAAACUAUUGGAUAUCAUUGUGUUUUGGAAAGUAUUACUAUAUUUUGGGAGGAAUGCCAUAUUUGGGCCUCGUGCCAACUAUUUGGACCCUUAUGGGGCUUUUUACUACUAUUCCUCACUAUUUUGACUUAAUAAUUGUACUCAGUCAUGUUGUGUUUUACUGAUUUCAUAACUCAGCUUUAUUUACUCAGUUUUGAUACUAUAAAUGAUAUUUUGGGCUGAACACCCUGUUUUACUGAUAGUCCGAGUGGCUUGAGAGAUUAAUGAUUGAGAGAGGCCAAGGGCAUGAUUGUGAGGUUGAUGACCGAGAGAGGCCGUGGGCCUAGUUGUGAGGAUUAUAUAUUUAUGGAUCGGGCUGCACGCCGCAACGAUAUAUAUAAAUAUAUGUAUGUAUGUAUGUAUAUGAAUCGGGCUGCACGCCGCAACGAUAUAUGGAUCGGGCUGUACGCCGCAGCAAUAUGUUGGAUCGAGCUGUACACCGUAGUGAUAUAGCGCUUGGGCUGUAGGAGCCCCUCCGGAGUCUAUACACCCCCAGUAAGCGCGGUCGACUAUAUGUAUAGAUCGGGUUGCACGCCGCAGCAAUAUAUGGAUCAGGCUGCACGCUGCAAUGGUUAUUAUAUGGUACCUAUUGAGCGUGAGUGCUGAGUGUGAGCGUUGAUUGAUGAGAGUUGAGUCAUGAGUGACUGAGAGGCUUGCCCGAGGGGCUAUAUACACAUGUAUAUGACUGUUGCUUUGCCUGAGGGGCUUGUUUUAUGAAAUUACUGUUUUCACUCAUCUUUAUACUGAGCCUCUAUUGAAAAUUUUAAACAAAUGUUUUGAAUAACUUUCAUUGAAACUGGAAUUUUUAAAGGAGAGAUUUGGAGUUAAAUUACUGAUUUGGCUUUGUCAUUUCCACUGAGAUUUUCAUGUUAUGUUAUGUAUAUGAAUGACCGAGAGGUUUGAUAGAAGGGCUAUUUAUAAAUUUUUUUGCCCGAGGGGCCGAUCAUGAUUUUCAUCAUUUUCACUAUAAACUACAUUGAACCUCUAUUGAAACUGUUAGAAAUUUUUCAAAGGAUUUUACUGAAAUUGGAGCUUAACGAGAUGAUUUGAUUUGUAUCCUAUGUUGGAAAUAUACUGUAUCCGCUUUGGUGCUAUGACGUGGAUUACAUGAUUUCUUACUGCACAUUCUUUAUUUACUUUCAUUACUUACUGAGUUGGCGUACUCACACUACUCCUUGCACCUUGUGUGCAGAUUUAGGUAUUUCUGAGCUCGGUGGCAGGUUCAUCGGAGUUAGCAAGGUAGCUGCCUGGUGAUCACAACCCUGUUUUUAUCCCUUAGUAUAUUCUUGUGAUUUUCCCAGCCAUAUUGGUCUUGAUGUUGUCAGACAGUUGUAGUAGAUGCCCAUGACUAGUGACACCCCGAUGUCGGGCUUUCUUUCCGCACUAUUGUUUGUUUUUAAACAAUAUAUAAAGGUUUAUUGUUAAAUAGUUUUGUUUUCAUC